UCGCCAAUACUUUGGUUGCCAUAAAUGAUCCUGGCCUUCCAAGCCAGUUGUCCGGGUUCGAAUCCCGGUCGGCGCA
This 76-nucleotide transfer RNA is filed under the name Candidatus Woesearchaeota archaeon. RNAcentral's name for it is "tRNA-Gly". The record is from RNAcentral. Lineage: Archaea; Nanobdellati; Candidatus Woesearchaeota.